UGAAUGCUUUCGGGUUGUUAAACCUCUUUACAGUCAGGAACGGAAAAUUGAACGGUACCUGGCAGAAGAAAGCUCCCGGCCAACUACGUGC
RNAcentral lists this ribosomal RNA (91 nucleotides) under uncultured bacterium. Its description in RNAcentral is "partial 16S ribosomal RNA". The record is from RNAcentral.